CCUAGGACUUUUAUUUUUCAGUCUCGUUUGCUUGUAUUUUUAUCAACUACACUAGUACUUUUGCUCUCUGUUCGACGAGCCUGACUCGAAAGGGGAAAUAGAUCUGAGACCUCGAAAGCUCCCGUUCACUGCACCAUUAAAAGCCGAAGAGUCUCGAUUUGAGACUCGACGUUGCUGUUAAACUCGGAAGCUACAUCUACUCUUCAUUCGUUCCCCUCGCUCUCUCUUGAAAUAUUUCCGAAUAGAGACUAAAUGGGAGAUGAGGAGACAUGGCUUAUAUCCUGUCGUGGCUCUCUUUCAUUUUAUUUUUAUGAAUAUUAUGUUGGUUUUGAUGCUGUCUGUUUCUUGUUUUAAUUCAUCUUAAUGAUAUUUAUGUGA
Molecule: long non-coding RNA, 378 nt
Organism: Lycium ferocissimum
Lineage: Eukaryota; Viridiplantae; Streptophyta; Magnoliopsida; Solanales; Solanaceae
Exons: 2
Source: RefSeq, a predicted model, not a curated record